This 4742-nucleotide long non-coding RNA is filed under the name Gossypium barbadense (sea-island cotton). RNAcentral describes it as "long non-coding RNA (GBAR_LNC013763)". Lineage: Eukaryota; Viridiplantae; Streptophyta; Magnoliopsida; Malvales; Malvaceae. The record is from RNAcentral.
CUAACACCACUAAAUUGCCUAGUAACUUGGUAAACUUGAUUGAAAACAUAAACUUCUACCUAAACUUGUCAUUCAGCACCUAAUUACAUCAAAAUACAGUUACCAACUUAGUUCAAAACAAACUAAAACACAAAAUGUUCAUUUGAGUAACCAAAUGAAACAAUGCAGUUUCGGUUUGCUGUUAAAGCACGAUCCCUGCAUGGCCACCUUGCAUGGUCACCUUGGCUGCUGCAUGAGGGUUGACUUCAACACUCCUCCUCAGCUUCUAUGCAGCAGACUCCUAGUUGCUUCCUUAGGUUUAGAAAUCUCGAUGCACCAAGUGAUUUUGUGAAGAUAUCGGCGAUCUGACCUUCUGAGCUGCAAUGAAUUAGCUUGAUCUCUCGAGCUUGUUCCAUUUCUCUUAUCACAUGGAGUUUAAUGUUGAAAUGUUUUGUCCUGCCAUGGAAGACAGGAUUUUUAGCAAUAGCAACUGCUGACUUGUUGUCACAAUGUAUCACAGUUGCAUCAUUUUGCUGUAGAUUCAAAUCGCUCAAAAUUUUUCUCAGCCACAUAGCUUGAUUAACAGCAUUGGCAGCUGCUACAUACUCUGCUUCUGCUGUCGAUUGAGCCACCAUUGUUUGUUUUCUUGAGCUCCAACAAAUCAUAGCUGAGCCAAGUGUAAAAGCAUAGCCAGAAGUGCUCUUCAUGUCAUCCUUUGAACCAGCCCAAUCGCUAUCAGUGUAGCCAAUCAGUUUCAACUCUUCAGCCUUUCUAAACUGUAUUCCAUGGUUUAAGGUACCUUUGAUGUAUCUUAGCACCCUUUUCCCAGCCUUGUAAUGUUGCUGGUUACAGCAGUGCAUGAACCUUGAUAGCAUGCUCACAGCAAACAGAAUGUCAGGUCUUGUUGCUGUUAAAUACAGCAAACAACCAACAAGGCUCCUAUAAAAUGAUUCAUUGACAGGCUCAUGUUCUUCUUGGCUCGACAGUUUUAUGCCAACUGCCAUAGGUGUGCAUGUUGGCUUGCAAUUUUGCAUUGAAAACUUGGAUAAAACUUUCAAAGCAAAUGCCUUUUGUUCCAAAAAAAUUCCUUGAUCAGCUUGUUGUAUCUCUAUUCCAAGGAAAUAAGUCAUCAACCCCAAAUCUGACAUCUCGAACAUCUCCUUCAUUUUUCUUUUGAAAUCUUCUAACAUAGUCUUGUCUCCUCCUGUUACAAGGAGAUCAUCCACAUAAAGAGACACAAUAAGCUGUGUUUCUGCUUGAUCCUUCUUAACAUAAAGUGUUGGCUCACUAGCACUCCUUUCAAAUCCCAAACUGACCAAGUAUGAGUCAAUUCGAGCAUACCAGGCUCGAGGGGCCUGUUUUAGGCCAUACAAGGCCUUUCUUAGCCUAUACACCAAAUGUUCCUUACCAGGCAUUAUAAAACCUGGGGGUUGCUCGAUGUAUAUCUCCUCUUCUAGGAAUCCAUUGAGGAAUGCAGACUUGACAUCCAUUUGGUGGAUUGUCCACUGGUUCUGAGCAGCAACUGCAAUCAGCAAUCUGAUUGUAUCGAGUCUGGCUACUAGAGUAAAUGUUUCCAUGUAGUCCAGACCAUACCUUUGACUGAAGCCCUUUACAACUAGUCUGGCCUUUAGCUUGUUUAAACUUCCAUCCGCAUUGUGCUUCACUCGAUAAACCCAUUUUACACCAAUGGUCUUUCUGUUGGCAGGCUUUUCAACCAACUCCCAUGUCUAAUUCUUCACAAUCAUGUUGAUUUCAUCAACCAUAGCCUGUUUCCAACCUUCAUCUGCUUCAGCUUCUUCAAAACUACUAGGUUCUUCUAUAGCAACUUGUGCUCUUUCAUAAAUCUCAUCUAGGGGCCUUGUGCCUCUCACAGGCACAUCAUCAACAUCCAUUUCAGGACCAAGGUGCUCGAGUUCAGCUUGAUUAGGCACCAGGUCUUCUGAAGCAGCUUCUGGUUUACUCUUCUCCCAAUUCCAGCAAGCCUUCUCAUUAAAGAUGACAUCUCUGCUCACUUAAACUUUGUUUGUCAAAGGAUCCAGCACCCUGUAGCCCUUUUUAACUGAGCUAUAGCCUACUAGAACACCUGGUUGAGCCCUUUCAGAGAGCUUAUCUCUCUUUGCUGCUGGUAUUUGUGCAUAACACAGGCAACCAAACACCUUCAGAUGUGCCAAGGAAGGCUUGAAACCAGACCAAGCCUCGAAAGGUGUUUUGGAUGCAAGAGCUUUAGUAGGAAGCCUAUUUUGAAGGUAGACAGCAGUGUUUACUGCCUCAGCCCACAUGGUCUUGGGCAGUUUCUUCUCAAACAGCAGGCACCUGGCCAUAUCCAUCAAGCUUCUGUUUUUUCUUUCUGAUACCCCAUUCUGCUGAGGUGUGUAGACAUUUGUAAGCUGGUGUUUGAUACCAGCAUCAUUGCAAAUGGCUUGAAACUGAGCUGAAGUGUACUCAGUGCCAUUGUCUGACCUUAUCGAUUUCAGCUUGCAACCUGUUUCUGUCUCUACAGCAGUUUUAAACUUCACAAACACUUGAGCUACCUCAGACUUGUGUUUUAAGAAGAAAAUCCAGCAAAACCUUGUAAAAUCAUCAAUGAAGAGGAUAAAAUACCUGUUUUUGCUGAGUGAUUCAGUCCUCAUCGGGCCACAUACAUCAGAGUGCACCAGCUGCAGUCUUUCAGUAGCUCUCCAUGCUGCAUUUGUAGAAAAUGGCAAUCUUGCCUGUUUCCCCAUCUGGCAGACCUCACACACAUCAUCAUACUCCACUGAGUUGGUGAAGUUCUCAGCCAAGCCCUCACUGGCCAUUCGACCCAUUGACCUGAAGUUGGCAUGUCCAAGUCUUCUAUGCCAGAGUUUGGAGUCAUCUAUAAAGGUUGUAUAUGCUGACUUUAAGUCAUUUGACUAAUGAACCUCAAAGCAUUUAUCAGUCAUUGUGACUGUCAUAAGGCUUGAUCCACUUGGAUCUGCAAUGUGGCACUGUUUAUCCUUGAAUACAACAGAAUAACCUUUCUCAAGCAAUUGGGCUAUGCUGAGAAGGUUUCUGUCAAUCUCAGGCACCAAAAGCACAUUUGGUAUGACCUUGUUACCUGUAGGAGUACAUAUCAGCACCUCUCCUCUUCCUUCAGCCUUUAUAAACUGGCCAUUUCCAACCUUGACCUUGGUUUUGCAACUUCUAUCCAAGGUUUUAAACAAUGAGGCAUCUGGUGACAUGUGGUUAGUGCAACCACUGUCCAAUAGCCAACCUUUUGAAAAUUUCUUCUCAGCAGUUAAGCAAGAAACAGCAAAGACCUGUUCCUCUUGGUCACUACUGUCCUCAGCUACUCGAGCUUCAACCUUUGGUUGUUGAAAUUGGCUCUGCCUUGGCUUGGUUCUAUUUUUGCAAACCCUUUCAACAUGGCCCUUCUUCUUGCAGUGCUGGCAUACUGCUUCUGGCCUGAACCAACAUCUGUCUUCUGGAUGGCCUAGCUUCUUGCAAUAUCUGCAGGGCUGGUCAUUGCUCCUUGCAGCAUCAGGCUUAGGCCUGCUUUUCCAAGGCUUUUUGCCUCUUUGAGCAUUGGUGCUCGAGGCUUCUCUGGCCUUGGCUUGAAAUGCACCUUCUUGGUGAUCUUCAGCUCUGCUAGCUCUCCUUUGUUCCUGAGCAUAGAAGGUGUUGAUUAACUCAGUCAAAGAAAUGCUAGCAAGGUCUCUUGAGUCCUCUAGGGAGGAUAUCUUUGCUUCAUAUUUCUCAGGCAAAGUGGAGAGGACUUUCUCCACAAUUCUUGCCUCAUCAAAGUGCUCACCUAGGAGCCUUAUACUGUUAACCACUGCCAUAAUUCUAUCUGAAUACUGCUUCACUGUUUCUUCUUCCUUCAUCUUCAAAUUCUCGAAAUCCCUUCUCAAAUUCAACAGCUGCUGUUGCAUUGUUCUCUCAGUGCCUUGAAACUCCUCCUUAAGCUUGUCCCAGGCCUAUUUUGAAGUCUCACAGGCCAUAAUUCUGGUAAAGAUGACAUCUGAUACACAGUUCUGAAUGCAGGACAUGGCUUUGUGCCUUUUGGUCCUCUCAUCAGCAUGUUGUCUGAUCUGAGCUACUGUGGGAUUAGCCCUCAGUGGUGCUGGCUCAGCAUCUGUGUUAACAACUUCCCACAGAUCAAAGGCCUGCAGGUAAGUCUUCAUCUUUACCAGCCAUAUGUGAAAGCUUUCUCCAUUGAAGACUGGUGGGGCUGCUGGUGAAAAUCCUGAAGAAGCCAUCAGGUUCCUUGGUUUGAAGCAACAGGUCCACUAAGACAACGGCUCUAGAUACCAAUUGUUGGUGCAAGAGGUAAUAGCAAGAUGGUUUCAGCUUGCUUGCACAGCAAGUGUCGAGCCUUGCUGAAUAAACUAUUGAAGAAGAAGAAAGAAAUUUUGCAAUGGAGAACAGAAAAGAAAGAGAUAAAAUUGAAUGAAAAUGAGCUAAAUUUUCAUUAACCUUUUUUAAGGCAUAAUACCAAUACAUAUAUAUGAGAUAACAACAGCAAAACAAACAAGUUACCACCUAAUAACAUACCUAACACCACUAAAUUGCCUAGUAACUUGGUAAACUUGAUUGAAAACAUAAACUUCUACCUAAACUUGUCAUUCAGCACCUAAUUACAUCAAAAUACAGUUACCAACUUAGUUCAAAACAAACUAAAACACAAAAUGUUCAUUUGAGUAACCAAAUGAAACAAUGCAGUUUCGGUUUGCUGUUAAAGCACGAUCCCUGCAUGGCCACCUUGCAUGGUCACCUUGGCUGCUGCAUGGGGGUUGACUUCAACA